This 662-nucleotide ribosomal RNA is filed under the name uncultured fungus. RNAcentral's name for it is "eukaryotic LSU rRNA". It matches the Rfam family "Eukaryotic large subunit ribosomal RNA", at positions 24 to 664 of the family's 3401-position model. Lineage: Eukaryota; Fungi. The record is from RNAcentral.
CCCGCUGAACUUAAGCAUAUCAAUAAGCGGAGGAAAAGAAACUAACAAGGAUUCCCCUAGUAACUGCGAGUGAAGCGGGAAAAGCUCAAAUUUAAAAUCUGGCGGUCUUUCGGCCGUCCGAGUUGUAAUCUGGAGAAGCGUUUAUCCGCGUUGGACCGUGUACAAGUCUUCUGGAAGGGAGCGUCAUAGAGGGUGAGAAUCCCGUCUUUGACACGGACUACCAAUGCUUUUGUGAUGCGCUCUCGAAGAGUCGAGUUGUUUGGGAAUGCAGCUCAAAAUGGGUGGUAAAUUCCAUCUAAAGCUAAAUACAGGCGAAAGACCGAUAGCGAACAAGUACCGUGAGGGAAAGAUGAAAAGCACUUUGGAAAGAGAGUUAAACAGUACGUGAAAUUGUUGAAAGGGAAACGCUUGAAGUCAGUCGCGUCUUCAGAAAUUCAGCCUGGCUUCUGCCUGGUGUACUUUUCUGUUGGACGGGCCAGCAUCAGCUUUGACCGUCAGAAAAAGGCGAGAGGAAGGUGGCACCUCCGGGUGUGUUAUAGCCUCUCGUCGUAUGUGACGGCUGGGACUGAGGACCGCAGCACGCCUUCAUGGCCGGGGUUCGCCCACGUAACGUGCUUAGGAUGCUGGCGUAAUGGCUUUAAACGACCCGUCUUGAAACACGG